UUGGCCGUAUGAACCCCUUGUCAAUCAAUUCUUCCAAUUGCUUCUUUAGCUCGGCCAUCUCGGCCGGAGCCAUCCGGUACGGACUCUUGGACAGCGGAGCUGUCCCUGGCUCUAGUUCAAUCGUAAAUGGAUCCGACCUAUCAGGGGGGACACCCUGAGGUACCUGGAACACAUCUGGAAACUUCGACACCAACGAAUCCUCUGAAAGGUCUUUCAGACAGACAGAACUGCCCGGCUCUGUAGUUGUAAUUGUAGCCAAAAAGGACUGACAACCCUGUUCCAAC
RNAcentral lists this long non-coding RNA (284 nucleotides) under Brassica rapa (field mustard). Its description in RNAcentral is "long non-coding RNA (BRAP_LNC008988)". The record is from RNAcentral. Lineage: Eukaryota; Viridiplantae; Streptophyta; Magnoliopsida; Brassicales; Brassicaceae.